RNAcentral lists this long non-coding RNA (203 nucleotides) under Lotus japonicus. RNAcentral describes it as "long non-coding RNA (LJAP_LNC002144)". Lineage: Eukaryota; Viridiplantae; Streptophyta; Magnoliopsida; Fabales; Fabaceae. The record is from RNAcentral.
ACAACUAAUCCUACUAGCACUAAGCUAAGGCGAUAGUUUUCAGCCUAAAGGUUGAAGCUUUACACCAAAAACUCCAAAAAUGGGUAUUUUAGGUUCAAAUUGAUUCCGGCGGAAUUCCGGCGACAUAACGGAAAAUCUAACCCGGCAGAAGUGAUCUUGGGCGCAUAAGGAAGAGGUUUAGAAUCAGAAAUGAAAGAUUCAGG